Podarcis lilfordi (Lilford's wall lizard) is the source of this 75-nucleotide non-coding RNA. NCBI's taxonomy places the organism in Eukaryota, Metazoa, Chordata, Lepidosauria, Squamata, Lacertidae. The record is from the annotation of a GenBank genome assembly.
GAAUUGCUCAGUGGUACAGUAUCUGUUUUGCAAGCAGAAGGUCGCGGGUUCGAUCACUGACAGUCAGUGUGGACA